CUUUACUUUUUAAUUUAACUUUACCUUUAUUUUCUUUUGUUGCUUUUUCUCUUCUCGGAAGCCUUACCUACUUUCAUCAUGUAUGCCUAGUUCAUUUUACCUAAUGAAUAAAGCAGGUAGCUUGCAACCUUUUCUAUAAAAAAAAAAAAGUAUUUAUCUCGAGACCCCUAGGACGGGCGAGUCAGGAGCAGAUAUGUCCAAUAAUAUCUAUAUUUUUAUUUUUUUAAAAUAAAAAUUAUUGCAUAAAAUUCGUGCAAGAGAUAACUCUGCUUUUAAUAUACUGUAAUUUACCUCACCCUAAUUAAGUGAUGUCAAAAUUAAUUACAAGAGAGAAAAGAAGAUAAAAGAAAUAGCAAAAAGUUAAUUACUAUAACUUUUUUAUCCUCUUAUGCAAUAAUGUAAAAAUUGUUAGUAAAAUAAAUAAAAAAGUAGAAUAAUUACAAUUCAGAAGUCAUUGAUUUCUUAUCAAAUAAGUGGUGGUAAAAAACAAAAAAAAAAAAACAAAACAAAAACUAGACUUUAACUCAACUAAAAAUUAUUAUCAAUUUGAAAAUUACUUAACGCCUAAACAAGAAGAUGAUAGAUCUUUAUAGAUAUGUAAGAUAACAAUAAAAAUAAAUAUAUAUCAAAAUUCAUAAUCAUAAAUAAAAUAAAAUAACUCAAGAGAAAAAAUUCUUCGAUUAAUCUGCGGAAGCGAGAAGUUCGGCUAUGAUCUGGAAGUCACGAAUCGAACUUGGGUAAUUUGGUUUUUCCUCCUAUCUCAGACACUCUCUCGUAUGGUGUGGAAUCGAUGGUAAUUCUUUACCAGAAUGCGCAUAUGAGAAGGUGGAAGGACCAAUACCCUUUUAUAUAGAGUCCAAAUCGACUUCCCAUCAAACUCUGAUGAGAAUUCUAUUUAAUUUAAAUAGAUGGGAUAGUGAUAAAAUAUACUAUAUCAAAUAAUUCUAUAUCUAUUAGAAUUGACCUUUAUCUAUAGUAAAUCCAUAUUUGAAUAUGAUUAAUUAGACCACAUUUAUGAAAAUCCUAACAAUCUCCCGCUUGGCUUAUAUUAAUCAUACUUUAUGAAUGGAUUUUCGAUGCUUCAAACUUUAUUACAUAUUAUUGAAACUUUAUAGUCAAAUAGCUCAGAACUCGCUUAAUCUUUAGCUCAAAAUAAAAGACUACAAUGAUAGGAAUUAUGGCGGUCCACAUUUUCAUAUUAAAAAUUUUCUUCCAUAAUUAGACUAAAUUACAUAAAACCCCCCCGUCAAAACCCGAUUUUUCACUUUUCCCCCCUGUCAUUUAAAAACCUGCACUUUGCCCCUUUGUAAAAUAAAAAAUAUUCACAGGAAGGGUACGGUGUGUACUGUGAUGAUAAAAUGACCAUUUUGCCCCUUACCAUUUUCGUCUCCUCCCUCAUUUUUCUCAACAGCAGCCUGAAUCAGCCGCGGUUCACACCUCAAUCGGUUGCGGUUUCUCUCCAUUUUCUUCUCCACCUGCUCCCCUCUCCUCCUGCACCCUCGUCGCUCCUCAAUUUCGGCAACAGUAGUGUGGAAAUCGAGGUAGAGGUGGAUGGAGAGGUGGGUAACGGCAACGAGGGCGUAGGCGAGGCGGCGGAGGAGGGCGAAGAGGUGUUUGUGGGCGCGGACGGGGAUGUGGGCGAGGGCGAAGCAGUGGAGAAGGGCGAGGCGGCGAGACGGAGGAAGGCGAAGCAACAAGAAAGAGGGCGGAGGGGUAUUUUUGGUAUAAAAACAUAUUUUAUAACUGAACCUCAACGAAUCACUAACGGUAGGAGGCAAAGUGCACAUUUUGAAUUUUACAAGGGGGCAAAGUGUAGGUUUUUAAAUGACAGGGGGGGAAGUGAAAAAUCGCUUUUUGACAGGGGGUUUUCUGUAAUUUAGCCUAAUUACUAUAUUAUUUUCAUCUCCUAGCCGAGUACUUUAUAUGGCACAACUUUAUAAAUGAACUUAAAACUAUGGGCGUGUUUGGUUCGAAGUCGGAAUCGGAAUCAAAAUAAGCUGGAAUCGGAAUCGAAAUGACUCAUUACAGAAUUCUGUUUGGUUCAUCACCUGAAUCGGAAUCGGAAUAAAUUAUUCUCAUUGUCGGUGUUUGGUUCAGGUAAAUAUAAAAAACGUAAUCAGAUUAAUAUAUUAACUUUAUCUUUAUAAUAUAUUAAUUUAAAUUCAAAUUAAAAAUUAAAUAUUAAAAUUUUAUAUCAAAAUUUUGAAAUGAUGUCAAAAUUUUAAAUCUAUUCUUUUUAAAAAAUUAAACUUUGAAGUUGAGUAGAUAAUUCGAAAUAUAAAACUAAAUUUCGAUUUAUUCAAAUUCAAACUUAAAAAUUACAAUUUAAAUUUUAAUUUGAAUCCAUAAAUUUAAUUUAAGUUUUAAAUAAAAUUUGAAUAAAACUUUAUAUAAAUUAAAAUUUAAUUUAAAUUCAAAUUCAUAAGUUAGAUUCGAAAUACUUGAUUAAAUUUUAAUUUUUAAUUCAAGUUCAAAUUAAAAUUUAAAAUUUAAAAUUUAAUUUCUAAAUUUAAACACAUAUUUUAAUUAAAAAAGUUGAAAAAAUAAAUUUAAUCCGAAUUAAUAUCCAUUCCGUCUGGAUUCAACUUCCAAUCCGGCCUCCUAGGCCGGAUUGAAAAAAAGGGUGAUUGGGGGAUUCCCAUUCCACUCGGGAAUCGGAAUCGGAAUGGGACUUCCGCGUACCAAACACCCACAAACGGAUUCACCCAUUCCGAUUCCGAUUCCAGGGUGAAAAAAAAAGCGAACCAAACACGCCCUAUAUGUCCAUUUAUUAACAGACAAAACUUUAUGUCUAUUAAAUAAUCCAACACAACUGCAUUAAACUUUAACUUUAUUAAAAAGAUAGAAUAUUAUAAUCUUAUACAUCAAAAGAACUAAUCAAACCCAUACUUUUAACAUGAUUUGCAUAUGACCCAGGUGCCAGCCCCUUGGUCAUUGGGUCUGCAGUCAUACACUUGGUACUGAUGUAUUCAAUUGUAAUAUAACAUUCCUCUAUCUUCCCUGACACAACAAGAUAUUUAGUAUCUAAGUGUUUAUACCGUAAUAUACUGAACUUCUGC
RNAcentral lists this long non-coding RNA (3059 nucleotides) under Ananas comosus (pineapple). RNAcentral describes it as "long non-coding RNA (ACOM_LNC033474)". The record is from RNAcentral. Lineage: Eukaryota; Viridiplantae; Streptophyta; Magnoliopsida; Poales; Bromeliaceae.